Long non-coding RNA from Rhineura floridana, 878 nucleotides. RefSeq lists it as uncharacterized. Lineage: Eukaryota; Metazoa; Chordata; Lepidosauria; Squamata; Rhineuridae. The transcript has 3 exons. The record is from RefSeq and is a predicted model, not a curated record.
UCUAAUGCUGAAAUUUUUUUGAAAAGAACUCAUUGGAGCUGAUCUGACCAGAGUUUUAGAGUAAAGAGGAAGGGGAUUUGACUAGCGUCGUGUGUUCCUGUUUUCAGAAAGCAGAGGUGGAGAUGCACUGGAACUGGCACAAUGAAACAGCACUGAAAUGUCUUCAACGGCAGAUGUGUGCACAAUUGGAUGUGGAGACAAACUGGAACUGGGCCGUGAAUAUGCCGUGAAGCUACUUCUGUGGACAUGCAGCUUGCUCCCUAAUGAAGCCUUUCCCAAGGCUGCCUGCUUUAAGAGUCCAGACUGCCCUGCAGUAACCCAAGACAAACACUUUCCCCGGCCAUCUGGAGAGUUGCUGGCUUCUCUGCCUGUAUCUCGUCACUGUCUGCAGAGACGGCACUGCUAGGAAUCAAUCUGAGAUCUACUCUCUCUAAUCCCCUUCUGUUAGCUGAUUUUUUCGGGCUGACUAUUUGCUUUCACAUUAAAUAAUAGCCUUAGAGAAAACGAUUAUCAUUCUCUUCUCUUUUCACCCUCCUUCUCCCCCCCCCACUUUGUAUUACCACCCCCCGGAAUACAAUAAUUUAUUGAUUGUGGUAAAAGAAGUUUCUGCCUUUUUUAUUAUUAUUAAAUCAAAACCUCGUAACGCUUUUCACGGGGUGGAGGAAGGGAAAGCCUUUUUCUCGAUUUCACACUUGCUGGAGAAGAUCAUUCAGAAACGCAUAGGCUGUCUCUAAAGAGAAUGUGAAUUAACUUAGCGAAAGAAUUCAAAGUACAAAUAAACCAUGUGUUUCAAAAUGUUGCUCAGCAUUUACUUGCAGGCUCUGAGUAAUAAUUGAUUAGCCUUUGGAAUUAUUCUGUUCAGUCAUUGCUUCUUGAAG